CCUANGGGAGGCAGCAAGUGGGAAUAUUGCGCAAUGGGCGAAAGCCUGACGCAGCGACGCCGCGUGAGGGAUGAAGGCCUUCGGGUCGUAAACCUCUUUUGGCAGGGACGAAAACAAUGACGGUACCUGCAGAAGAAGCCCCGGCUAACUCCGUGCCAGCAGCCGCGGUAAUACGGAGGGGGCAAGCGUUGUCCGGAUUUACUGGGCGUAAAGAGCGCGUAGGCGGUCCAUUAAGUCGGCUGUGAAAGCGCUGGGCUUAACCCAGCAACCGCAGUCGAUACUGGUGGACUCGAGUCCGGGAGAGGGAAGCGGAAUUGCUGGUGUAGCGGUGGAAUGCGUAGAUAUCAGCAAGAACACCGGUGGCGAAGGCGGCUUCCUGGACCGGCACUGACGCUGAGGCGCGAAAGCUAGGGGAGCGAACGGGAUUAGAUACCCUANUANUC
RNAcentral lists this ribosomal RNA (443 nucleotides) under uncultured bacterium. Its description in RNAcentral is "bacterial SSU rRNA". It matches the Rfam family "Bacterial small subunit ribosomal RNA", at positions 338 to 795 of the family's 1533-position model. The record is from RNAcentral.